GCGCCCUUGGUGUAAUGGUAACACGCAAUCUACUUCUGAAAUAUUGCAUGCGGUCCUGGGAUUGAGUCCGGGGUUCGACUCCCCUAGGGCGCA
Non-coding RNA from Mycena leptocephala, 93 nucleotides. The record is from the annotation of a GenBank genome assembly. Lineage: Eukaryota; Fungi; Basidiomycota; Agaricomycetes; Agaricales; Mycenaceae.